ACAAGGCUACAUUUGGCAACGUAAUCAGUUGCUAAAUGUUAUGGUGGUAUAUAAAUGAUGGUAGAAUUUAGAAAACUGAAAGGGGACAAGGUAGACAAGAGUGGUCAAGAAGGCUCCCUAGAGGAGAAGGAACUUGAUUUGGGUAUAGAAGAAGGGGCUGGGGACUGGGUGCAGUGGCUCACACCUAUUAUCCCAGCACUUUGGGAGGCUGAGGCUGGGAGAUCA
Sapajus apella (tufted capuchin) is the source of this 225-nucleotide long non-coding RNA. RefSeq lists it as uncharacterized. The transcript has 3 exons. The record is from RefSeq and is a predicted model, not a curated record. NCBI's taxonomy places the organism in Eukaryota, Metazoa, Chordata, Mammalia, Primates, Cebidae.